This 134-nucleotide microRNA precursor is filed under the name Picea abies (Norway spruce). RNAcentral's name for it is "miR399d stem-loop (pab-MIR399d)". Its record names the gene pab-MIR399d. Lineage: Eukaryota; Viridiplantae; Streptophyta; Pinopsida; Pinales; Pinaceae. The record is from miRBase by way of RNAcentral.
GUUAUUGUGCAGGAGAAUCACAGGAUAACUCUUCUUUUGCCGGGAAUUCUGAUUAGAUUUGAUUUCUGCACUUAAUUCAUCCAUCUUCAUUGCCUGCCAAAGGAGAGUUGCCCUGCGAUUGUUCUUUACAUGAU